CCAUACAUGAUACAAAUUUUAAAAUCAUGGAAGUAUUCUUUCACAGUCCUACUACCUUGCCUCAAGUUGUCUAAUUUUGCAAGCAAAUAAUUAGCAUAAUAUUCAGGAAUGAAUGCAUCUCUAAAAAGAAAUUUGAAGUCUUCCCAAGAUUCUAGAACUUUGUUGUGCCUACAAAUGCGUUUCCAUUCAAGCAAAGCAUAUUCAGUCAAAACAUUAGAGGCAAUAUAAAUCUUUUGUUUCUCGGACAGGUCAUGCUCAUCAAAUUCAUUAUCUACUUUUAUCUCCCAAUCAAUGUAAGCUUUAGGAUCAAACUUACCAUCAUAUAACGGCAAGUGUUGAAUGACAUCCUGAAUAUGAGGGUCUAGUUUCAACAGCUCAACGAUCUUCGUAUAACCUGCCAUGAUUAGUAGAAAACAGGAAACACAAAAAUAAUAUGUAUACUCCUGUCAACUACUAUGAUGUGUCUUUUGUAAUUCUCUCUAACUCAACUUGUUUAAAACAAGCCCUUACAAGUUCUUACCAAGCCAAACAGGAGGUGACGGCAACCAACAAGUCUGCAACCGUGGAGUGAAGUGUAUCGGUGCCGCAGCAACAAGAAAAACCUGUCAAGCUGUAGUCGAAUAUGUGGAACUGUAGGUGGGCUUAAGCAAGGAAAUAUACUAGCACCACGUUAGUCACAAAAGCAAGUUGAGUAAUCAUUCAACGGCGGUACUAUGCUGGUCCUAGGCUAAACCAUGCUAGAGACGUGAGCCUAGGCACAAAGGUAGUCACUGAAAAGAGCAACUAGCACAGCACAAAGAAAACAACAGAUUCAGCCCCUUCUUUCUUCUCCUUGUCUUGUCUUUUUUUCUUCUUCUUCUUCUUCUUUUUUUCUUUCUCUUUUUUUUUGUUUCUUUUUUUUUUGCAGAGGCCUAAAUCUUUUAUUUGGUACUAUGACAACCCAAACAAUAAGGCUAUUGCACACAACCCCUUCGAAUUUUAAAUUUAACAACUCUUGUUAAUACAGCAGAUGCGGAAAUCUCUAAGACGAUUGUGGAGCGCUCAGACCGAAUUUUGCUGCAAGGUCAGAUCCGUUGCAAAGAAGACAACUUCAAGUUUCCAGAUUGUAUUUAAACUCCCAAAUCGGACAUCAUAUGAAACCGUGGUGGCAGAAAUGAAGCGAUGAUGUAUAUGGUGAUGGUGGGUCUCGUGGUGACCAAAACGUGAUAGAACUCAAAACUCUAAAGGAAUAGACACUAAGACCAGCAACUUGACGCAACCGAUGCAACCAAAAACUCAACAAGCCCUAACUAAGCAAUGCUAGCAAAGGCUCAAAGGGUUUAUAGGAUUGCAGGUAAACUAAUCUAGUAUCUUUUUUGUGCUUUUCUGGACUAUAGGUAAUUAAAAUCAGCAAGCAACUGGAAGUCUCUCACCGAUAAACCUUGCUUUGAUUACCAACUGAUAAGAACCCGCUAGGGUUGAUUCCCGAUCUUUUGAUGAGAGGCGUGGGAUAACUCGAUUGGUCGAUGGAGACGACGUUCACAGCCUGACUACAGCCUUCCAAGCUGCGCCUUAGCAACCGAUACACCACCUCCAAUGGCUGCCGCGAUCUUGUGGAGCGCGUCACGCGGCCACUAGGGCACUUGUCCUGCAAGCAAUCGAAGAACAAGCAAGAACAAGUAGAACAAGCAACUCAAUUGCAAAUAUGGAGAUGAAAACCAAUCUGAAAUCACAAAGUUGGGAUUCUGAAUCGAGUAGAACGGAUGGUCUAGUUGACACACGCGUCUACAAGGAAGUAGCAAUGGCUAAACUUACAUCAAAACAAAACCCAAUCUGUUCAUGGCGGCUCUAAUCCUUAUUAAUACCUAGGAGGACGACCAGGGGGGUGUUGGGGUCGUGCUCCAACCCUAGGACACGUCCCUAAUGGACCCAACUUGAUACACGGCCCAUCGGGCCAAAAUAGGGCGACGCAGCACCUGUGGAUAGAAAACCUCUCGGUAGUAUUUCGAUGAUUGCGGCCGCCUCAGAAUAGAUAUGGACAUGAGUCCGGAUCCAUAUGAAAAUAGACUUCAUAAGGAUUCCAAGGAGUACUUGAACACCCAAAACGGAGUCCGGAUGAGGUCGUGGCGGUCGUUGCAAGUUGGGCCAGAACUGUAGUCCGAAUCCAGCACCAAAACGUGUUGGAUUGGAUCUCUUUCUUUCCUUGUGCCAAAAGUGACAUGGUGGCCUGGUGGAGGACGUUAGGAAUACUUGGACUUCGCCCCCAAUCUACUUCUUUGGUCCUCCAUGCCUUCCAUGUGUGUUUAACACUAUUUUUGAUCCAUGUAUGUAUUUCUGAAAUUGACAACGAAUACACAUCAUGGUGCAGCAUCAAUUCAUCAAAUGUAUCACAUAUAAUUAUGAUAAAGAAUUGUUUCACCUCAAAGUCAAAAGAUGCCAAUAUGGUUGUAUCCGAGCAUGUGAUGUCCUCAUCAUUACGCGACUAUUUGAGACGGUUCUUCAAAAAGAAGGCAACCAUAGUUAACAUUUCAGAAACAAACGUCAUCGAGUGCUUCCAGAACGGACUCUACGAUCGACGAACAUACCAAGACUUCGGUCAACGGUGACCAGCUAAUAUCAAAGACCUUAAAGUUAUGGUGUAACAGUGGGCAGAUGAAGAAGACAAAGAGCGGGAACGGUUCGGCUCCCACCGCAGCCGUGGACGUGACAACAACAGCUACAACGACCAGGAUAGAACUCGACACAAUGAUACUCGAAACAACUUCUCGAGCAAUCACAAUCGCAAAAGGAAGCCCGACAACACUGUUGCUGCCAUGACCAACUUCGGGAAAAAGGGAUCCCGCAAAAAUGAUGAAGGGGCGACCUUCACCGAACUACUCAAAAAGCAGUGCCCAUGGCACCCGACUAGCAAACACUCGGCAAUAGACUGCUACAGCAUGCGCCGAGUAAUGUAAGACUUACCCACACCACCACCCCCUGAAGAGUACACCAGAAAAAGGAUAAGGGCAAGAACAAAGCCCACAACGAAGAAGAAGAAGAAGGCGACUUCCAGACCGCCUCAAAAAUAGUCAACGUCAUCUUUGGCGGAAUACCAGGCACCGCGUCCAAGCGCGCCAACAAACCCGUGCUCAGAGAGAUGAUGGCCAUCGAACCAACAGAUCCAACACCGCUAAAGUAAUCAGAGGUGCCCAUAUCCUUCAGCAGAAAGGACCGAUGGACCAAGUUCUCCGAACCAGGCCGGUUCCCCCUAGUACUCGAUCCCGUUGUGGCAGGCUCAAAGCUAACCAAAGUACUCAUCGGUGGUGGAAGUGGACUCAACGUCAUUUUCGCCAAAACAUUGAGGAAGAUGUGCAUCGACGUUACAUAAAUGCUUACUCCAACAGAUUCACCCUUCUAUGGCAUCGUACUUGGAAACGCAGAUAUACCACUAGGACAAGUCGUCCUCCCAGUUGCCUUUGGAACUAAGGAACACUACCGUACCGAGUACAUCAGAUUUGAAGUCGCCGACUUCGAGACAUCUUACCACGCCAUACUCGGAAGGCCAGCACUCGCCAAGUUCAUGGCCAUACCAGACUGUGUUUACUUGGUACUCAAAAUGCCAGGCCCCAAGGGAGAACUAACGCUAUGAGAAGAUCUACAGCGGUCCUACGAAUGCGACACCGAAGCCGUGGAAAUCGCUGUGACUUCUCAAGCACUUAGUCCCAUGCAACAAGUCUUCACAGCUUCAAAGAAGCUCCAUCCAACUGAACUCGAGAUCCAAGAAAACAAGUCGGGGUCUACAAAGGUGAAACCCGCAAGCGAGCAAGACUUCAAACCAGUCAAUCUCCAAACGGGCGACUCCUCCACGACAGCCCUGAUCGGAACAUGGCUAGAUCCUAAAUAGGAAUCCGCGCUCGUCAGUUUCCUUCGGGCUAACCACGAUAUCUUCGCUUGGAAACCAACUGACAUGCCAGGUGUGCCCAAGGAACUGAUCGAGCACUCUCUAAAUGUUGAUCCCAAAGCUAUCCCAAAACGGCAGCGACUUCGCAGAUUCGCUCAUGACAGACAAGAAGCAAUCAAAAAAGAGCUAGCCAAGUUACUCGCAGCAGGAUUCAUCAAAGAAGUUUUUCACCUUGACUGGCUAGCAAAUCCCGUACUCGUUCGUAAGAAAAACAACGAGUGGAGAAUGUGCGUCGACUACACCGACCUCAACAAGCACUGUCCAAAAGACUCUUUUGGACUACCCCGACCAAGUGGUCGACUCUACUGCUGGGUGCGCUUUACUAUGCUUUCUCAACUACUACUCUGGCUAUCAUCAGAUAAGCCUCAAGGAAGAAGAUCAGGCCAAAACAGCUUUCAUCACACCUUUUGGAGCUUGCUGCUACAAAACAAUGUCCUUCGGACUAAAGAAUGCAGGAGCAACCUAUCAACGAGCUAUACAGAUGUGCUUCGAAAAGCAUCUUCACCGCAAUGUCGAAGCUUAUGUCGACGACGUCGUUGUCAAAACAAGAAACCAGGAGGAACUCAUUGCUGAUCUGGAGGAAACUUUCUCUAGUCCAAGAGCUUUCCGAUGGAAGCUCAAUCCCACUAAGUGCAUCUUCGGAGUACCUUCUGGCAAGUUACUUGGGUUCAUCAUUAGCCAUCGCGGCAUUAAGGCCAACCCGGAAAAAAUAUCCGCCAUCACAAACAUGCAAGCACCAGCUAGCAUCAAGGAUGUGCAGAAACUCACAGGCUGCAUGGCCGCUCUCAAUCGGUUCAUCUCGAGACUUGGAGAAUAGGGACUACCCUUCUUAAAGCUUCUCAAACGCCAGGACAAGUUCAAAUGGACAGAAGAGGCAGACAAGGCACUAACGCAACUUAAAGACUUCCUGUCAAAGCCUCCUGUACUCACUGCUCCAUCUCCAAAUGAGGAUUUGCUCCUAUACAUAUCAGCUACUACUCAUGUCGUCAGCACGGCAAUAGUAGUCAAACGGUCUGAACCAGGCCACGCUUACAAGGUCCAACGACCUGUGUACUUCGUCAGUGAAGUACUCUCGGACUCCAAAACUCGGUACUCACCGAUACAAAAACUCUUAUAUACAAUCCUGUUCACCUCCCGGAAACUGCGCCAUUAUUUCUAAGAGCACAAUAUCACAGUCAUCUCUGACUUUCCACUCGGCGAAAUUCUCCACAACAGAGAUGCCGCGGGAAGAAUCUCCAAAUGGGCAGUUGAACUCGGAGCUCUUACCUUGGACUUCAGGCAAAGGACAGCUAUCAAGUCCCAAGCUUUGGUCGACUUCGUGGCUGAAUGGACGUAAAAUCAAGUACCAACACCAAUCGAGCGCCCAGAGCACUGGGUGAUGUACUUCGACGGGUCCCUCAAACUUGAAGGGGCCGGUGUAGGCGUACUACUAAUCUCCCCAAAGGGGGACCAGCUCAAAUACGUACUGCAAAAUUUCUAGGAGGUAUCCAACAAUGAAGCCAAGUACGAAGCACUGCUACAUGGCCUUCGCCUCGCAAUUUCUCUCGGCAUUAAAAGACUACUGGUGUCCGGCGACUCACUACUCGUUAUAAACCAAGUCAAUGACGAAUGGAACCGAAACAAGGAUAAUAGGGGCGCUUACUGCAAAGAAGUCUGCAAACUGGAAAAGAACUUCUCAGGCUUGGAAUUUCAUUAUAUCAUCCGCGAUAACAACGUAGCCGCCAACGUCUUAUCGAAAAUGGGCUCAACUUGUGCAGAGGUUCCAGCAGGAAUUUUCUUACAUGAACUGCACAAGCCGUCCAUACCUGAACAAGUUACACCGCCAGUGGUCCAGACUACUGACGCCAAUCGAGAAAUCAUGAUGAUAGAAGUUGACUGGAGGACACCCUUCAUCGACUACAUUAAAGAUCACAAGCUACCAUCUGACAAAAAUCAGGCUAACCAAAUCUCCCGGCGAGUAAAAAGUUACGUUCUAGUUGAUAUGAACCCGCUAGGGUUGAUUCCCGAUCUUUCGAUGAGAGGCGUGGGAUAACUCGAUUGGUGGAUGGAGACGAUGUUCACGGCCCGACUACAGCCUUCCAAGCUGCGCCUUAGCAACCGAUACACCACCUCCAAUGGCUGCCGCGAUCUUGUGGAGCGCGUCACCCGGCCACUAGGGCACUCGUCCUGCAAGCAAUCGAAGAACUAGCAAGAACAAGUAUAACAAGUACUGAAUUUACUAUAUGAAGAUGAAGGUUUCCAACUCAAUCUCAAUAAGGUGGGGUUCCGAAGACAGCAAGACGGGCGGCUGAUCCAGCACGCGCGCUUACAGGCAAGUAGCGAGAGCUAAACUUGAUCUAAACAAAACCCAAUCUGUUCGUGGCGGCUCUAAUCCUUAUUAAUACCUAGGAGGACGACCAGGGGGGUGUUGGGGUCGUGCUCCAACCCUAGGACAUGUCCCUAAUGGACCCAACUUGAUACACGGCCCAUCGGGCCAAAAUAGGGCGACGCAGCACCUGUGGACAGAAAACCUCUUGGUAGUAUUUCGAUGAUUGCGGUCGCCUCAGAACAGAUAUGGACAUGAGUCCGGAUCCAUAUGAAAAUAAACUUCAUAAGGAUUCCAAGGAGUAUUUGAACACCCAAAACGGAGUCCGGAUGAGAUCGUGGCGGUCGUUGCAAGUUGGGCCAGAACUGUAGUCCGAAUCCAGCACCAAAACGUGUUGGAUUGGAUCUCUUUCUUUUCUUGAGCCAAAAGUGACGUGGUGGCCUGGUGGAGGACGUUAGGAAUACUUGGACUUGGCCCCCAAUCUACUUCUUUGGUCCUCCAUGCCUUCCAUGUGUGUUUAACACUAUUUUUGAUCCAUGUAUGUAUUUCUGAAAUUGACAACGAAUACACAUCAUGGUGCAGCAUCAAUUCAUCAAAUGUGUCACAUAUAAUUAUGAUAAAGAAUUGUUUCACCUCAGACUCAAAAGAUGCCAAUAUGGUUGUAUCCAAGCAUGUGAUGUCCUCAUCAUUCUCCCCUUCUUGGCUGCAAGUCGUCCUCGACUUGCUCCAAUGGCAUUCUAAGGUAGUUGCUUUGAUGUUGGAGCACGGAGCGAUGACCAUGCUGCAUGGGCACAACCAGUAAUGCUCCCCUUCUUUGGCCUUACCCUGUUGCAUAUGGGAAAAACUAGAAAAACUUUGCAAGACAUUAUUAGUGUUAGUGCAGCCCUCUAUUUGAUCUUGGUAUUGUUGCCCAAAACGAUAUUUCAGAUUAGAGGAAAUAUAAACUUUAUGCACCAAAUAUUCUCCUUUGCUAUCAUAUUUGCCAAUUGCAUGAAGCGAACAAUGAUUAAAACUUGGCAAACCAGAACCAAAUUGAAGUUUCUCUUUUAGACAAUUUAGAUUACACAAAACAUCAAAUUCAAUGUAACCCAAAGUAUUUAAAGAGGAUAGCAAAUUCAGUUGAUCUUGUGCACAAGUAAUAGGAUGAAAAAGCUUAUCUUCAGCACAUUUGUAUGAUUCCAAACCAAAAGUAUCACACUUAUUCACUACUUGUGGUAUAGGAGUAAAAGAAUCAUCAGCACACAAGUCCUCUUUAUCACAAGGAACAGCAAGUAAUUCAUUUUGUGACAAAGGAAAAUCAGCAAUGGGUUCCACUAUUUGUUGCUCUUCAUUAACAUCGAGAGUGGAUAAAUUUUGGAUAUAAUGGGUCACAUCAUUCUUGCAAGUAUUCACAGAUAAUAGAAUCUCCUUUUCAACAUUGAGAGCAAGGCAAAACAAUUGACCAAUAUGUAUGUAUGAUUUGCUUAGCAACAAGGUUUGAAUUUCAGAAUUGAGGCCUCUCAUGAACCUACACAUAACAUCUUCCAUGCACUCAUCUAAUCCACCAUACAUGAUACAAAUUUUAAAAUCAUGGAAGUAUUCUUUCACAGUCCUACUACCUUGCCUCAAGUUGUCUAAUUUUUCAAGCAAAUAAUUAGCAUAAUAUUCAGGAAUGAAUGCAUCUCUAAAAAGAAAUUUGAAGUCUUCCCAAGAUUCUAGAACUUUAUUGUGCCUACAAAUGCGUUUCCAUUCAAGCAAAGCAUAUUCAGUCAAAACAUUAGAGGCAAUAUAAAUCUUUUGUUUCUCGGACAGGUCAUGCUCAUCAAAUUCAUUAUCUACUUUUAUCUCCCAAUCAAUGUAAGCUUUAGGAUCAAACUUACCAUCAUAUAACGGCAAGUGUUGAAUGACAUCCUGAAUAUGAGGGUCUAGUUGCAACAGCUCAACGAUCUUCGUAUAACCUGCCAUGAUUAGUAGAAAACAAGAAACACAAAAAAUAAUAUGUAUACUCCUG
RNAcentral lists this long non-coding RNA (8214 nucleotides) under Setaria viridis. RNAcentral describes it as "long non-coding RNA (SVIR_LNC007787)". Lineage: Eukaryota; Viridiplantae; Streptophyta; Magnoliopsida; Poales; Poaceae. The record is from RNAcentral.